This 564-nucleotide ribosomal RNA is filed under the name uncultured bacterium. Its description in RNAcentral is "partial 16S ribosomal RNA". It matches the Rfam family "Bacterial small subunit ribosomal RNA", at positions 355 to 912 of the family's 1533-position model. The record is from RNAcentral.
UGGGGAAUUUUGGACAAUGGGGGAAACCCUGAUCCAGCCAUCCCGCGUGUGCGAUGAAGGCCUUCGGGUUGUAAAGCACUUUUGGCAGGAAAGAAACGUCGCGGGUUAAUACCCCGCGAAACUGACGGUACCUGCAGAAUAAGCACCGGCUAACUACGUGCCAGCAGCCGCGGUAAUACGUAGGGUGCAAGCGUUAAUCGGAAUUACUGGGCGUAAAGCGUGCGCAGGCGGUUCGGAAAGAAAGAUGUGAAAUCCCAGAGCUUAACUUUGGAACUGCAUUUUUAACUACCGGGCUAGAGUGUGUCAGAGGGAGGUGGAAUUCCGCGUGUAGCAGUGAAAUGCGUAGAUAUGUGGAGGAACACCGAUGGCGAAGGCAGCCUCCUGGGAUAACACUGACGCUCAUGCACGAAAGCGUGGGGAGCAAACAGGAUUAGAUACCCUGGUAGUCCACGCCCUAAACGAUGUCAACUAGCUGUUGGGGCCUUCGGGCCUUGGUAGCGCAGCUAACGCGUGAAGUUGACCGCCUGGGGAGUACGGUCGCAAGAUUAAAACUCAAAGGAAUUG